Molecule: ribosomal RNA, 1412 nt
Filed under: uncultured bacterium
Lineage: Bacteria
Description: bacterial SSU rRNA
Rfam family: Bacterial small subunit ribosomal RNA
Source: RNAcentral
AGAGUUUGAUCCUGGCUCAGGAUGAACGCUAGCGACAGGCUUAACACAUGCAAGUCGAGGGGCAGCGGGGGAGAAAGCUUGCUUUCUCCUGCCGGCGACCGGCGCACGGGUGAGUAACACGUAUGCAACCUGGCCGUCACAGGUGGAUAACCGGAAGAAAUUCCGACUAAUACAGCAUAACACUCUUGAGGGACAUCUUUCGGGAGUCAAAGGAGGCGACUCCGGUGACGGAUGGGCAUGCGGCGCAUUAGGUAGUUGGUAGGGUAACGGCCUACCAAGCCGACGAUGCGUAGGGGUUCUGAGAGGAAGGUCCCCCACAUUGGAACUGAGACACGGUCCAAACUCCUACGGGAGGCAGCAGUGAGGAAUAUUGGUCAAUGGCCGGAAGGCUGAACCAGCCAAGUCGCGUGAGGGAAUAAGGCCCUAUGGGUCGUAAACCUCUUUUAUCAGGGAGCAAAGGCGUCCACGUGUGGACGAGAGGAGAGUACCUGAAGAAAAAGCAUCGGCUAACUCCGUGCCAGCAGCCGCGGUAAUACGGAGGAUGCGAGCGUUAUCCGGAUUUAUUGGGUUUAAAGGGUGCGUAGGCGGAGUGUCAAGUCAGCGGUAAAAUUUCGGGGCUCAACCCCGUCGUGCCGUUGAAACUGACACCCUUGAGUGAGUGAGAAGUAAGCGGAAUGCGUGGUGUAGCGGUGAAAUGCAUAGAUAUCACGCAGAACGCCGAUUGGGAAGGCAGCUUACCGGCGCUCAACUGACGCUGAGGGCACGAAAGUGCGGGUAUCGAACAGGAUUAGAUACCCUGGUAGUCCGCACAGUAAAACGAUGAAUGCUAGAUGUCCGGGGCGAAUGAGCUUUGGGUGUCACAGCGAAAGCGUUAAGCAUUCCACCUGGGGAGUACGCCGGCAACGGUGAAACUCAAAGGAAUUGACGGGGGCCCGCACAAGCGGAGGAACAUGUGGUUUAAUUCGAUGAUACGCGAGGAACCUUACCCGGGCUCAAACGCCUCAGGAAUCAUUUGUGAAAGCAGAUGAGUCUUCGGACCUGAGGCGAGGUGGUGCAUGGUUGUCGUCAGCUCGUGUCGUGAGAUGUUGGGUUAAGUCCCGCAACGAGCGCAACCCCCAUCGUUAGUAGCCAGCAGGUAGAGCCGGGCACUCUAUGGAGACUGCCGGGGAUAACCCGGAGGAAGGUGGGGAUGACGUCAAAUCAUCAUGCCCCUUAUGUUCGGGGCUACACACGUGUUACAAUGGCGUAAACAAAGGGAAGCGAGAGGGCGAUGUUAAGCAAAUCCCAGAAACAACGUCCCAGUUGGGAUUGUAUUCUGCAACCCGGUCACAGGAAGCGGGAAUCGCUAGUAAUCGCGGAUCAGCAUGCCGCGGUGAAUACGUUCCCGGGUCUUGUACACACCGCCCGUCAAG